This 247-nucleotide ribosomal RNA is filed under the name uncultured bacterium. RNAcentral describes it as "partial 16S ribosomal RNA". It matches the Rfam family "Bacterial small subunit ribosomal RNA", at positions 523 to 769 of the family's 1533-position model. The record is from RNAcentral.
AAACGUAGGAGGCGAGCGUUAUCCGGAUUUACUGGGCGUAAAGCGCGUGUAGGCGGCUCGGAAAGUUGGAUGUGAAAGCUCCUGGCUUAACUGGGAGAGGUCGUUCAAAACUACCGAGCUUGAGGAUGAGAGAGGGAGGCGGAAUUCCGGGUGUAGUGGUGAAAUGCGUAGAUAUCCGGAGGAACACCAGUGGCGAAAGCGGCCUCCUGGCUCAUAACUGACGCUCAGACGCGAAAGCUAGGGUAGC